AGUGAACGCUGGCGGUAGGCCUAACACAUGCAAGUCGAACGGCAGCACAGUAAGAGCUUGCUCUUACGGGAGGCGACUCUCGGACUGAUGAGGAAAACAUCGGACUCUUCUUUUUCGUUUGGGAUAACGUAGGGCAACUUACGCUAAUACCGCAUACGACCUACGGGUGAAACCAGGGGAUCUUCGGACCUCGCGCGAAUGAAUGAGCCGAUGUCGGAUUAGCUAGUCGGCGGGGUAAAGGCCCACCAAGGCGACGAUCCGUAGCUGGUCUGAGAGGAUGAUCCGCCACACUGGAUCUUAGACACGGUCCAGACUCCUACGGGAGGCAGCAGUGGGGAAUAUUGGACAAUGGGCGCAAGCCUGAUCCAGCCAUACCGCGUGGGUGAAGAAGGCCUUCCGGUUGUAAAACCCUUUUGUUGGGAAAGAAAAGCAGCAGGUUAAUACCCCGCUGCUCUGACGGUACCCAAAGAAUAAGCACCGGCUAACUUCGUG
Molecule: ribosomal RNA, 492 nt
Filed under: uncultured bacterium
Lineage: Bacteria
Description: partial 16S ribosomal RNA
Rfam family: Bacterial small subunit ribosomal RNA
Source: RNAcentral